AUCAAUUAUGUAUUUUUUCUAAUGUUGAAAUAAUUCGAUUGAUGAUAAUAAUUGUAAAAUUCAAGUAAUAGUAUUCCUGUAACACCCUAAUUUUAGGAAUAUGAUGGUGCAUGCAAAGAGGUUUAAAAGAAUUGAUUUGGCCACCUAUGCCACCAAAGUGCACUUAUCUUUUCGGUUAAAGGUCUUGAGAGAACUCCACAGUUAAGCGUGUUUGGGCUGGAGUAGUUUCAGGAUGGGUGGCAUUCCAGAAAGUGAUUGUCGGAACCAUUCGAGAGAGGACAAAGCAUGGAAAAAGAUCAUGUGGUGAUUUCUAGGGAUGGUAACAAGUCUUUAAAGCCUCCCGGACGUGGCCCACCGAUCGUCGGACAGAGGUGGGCCCAUGGACCCGAGAGAGAAUGUGGGGUCCAUUAGUAAAGACGGUCGGGUCGUUACAAUUCCUAUUAUUAUAUAAAGGUUAACUCUUCUUUUGGGAAAAGACAAAUUAUGUCUUUGUAACAACAAUUAUUUUUUUAUAAAAAGGAAAGGAAAUUGCAUCAAAGUUUAAACUUUAAUUUAAAACUGUUUGAUAAGAGAAGUCUUAUUUACAGUAAAUUGCCUUUUGGUCUCAUUAUCUUUUUCCGACUUCAAUUAGUGUUGCUUGGUUCAGUUUGAUGUUUGGUCUCUCUAGUGUGUUCAAUCCCUAAGCUGCAUACAUGUGUUAAAUAUGUUUUUAUAAAAUCUACUACUAAUAAAAGAAACAAUUUGAGGCUUCUCAAGUCAUCCACAUCAUCAUUCCAAAAAUCAUUCUAGAGGAUGCCACAUCAGAUUUUUUUAAAUACCCUCUCUAAAUACCAUGUCACCAAAUUAUUAAAAUAUAA
RNAcentral lists this small RNA (857 nucleotides) under Arabidopsis thaliana (thale cress). Its description in RNAcentral is "ATSL262780". Lineage: Eukaryota; Viridiplantae; Streptophyta; Magnoliopsida; Brassicales; Brassicaceae. The record is from RNAcentral.